This 482-nucleotide ribosomal RNA is filed under the name uncultured bacterium. RNAcentral's name for it is "partial 16S ribosomal RNA". It matches the Rfam family "Bacterial small subunit ribosomal RNA", at positions 30 to 507 of the family's 1533-position model. The record is from RNAcentral.
AUUGAACGCUGGCGGCAUGCUUUACACAUGCAAGUCGAACGGCAGCGCGGGGCAACCUGGCGGCGAGUGGCGAACGGGUGAGUAAUAUAUCGGAACGUACCCAGAAGUGGGGGAUAACGUAGCGAAAGUUACGCUAAUACCGCAUACGAUCUACGGAUGAAAGUAGGGGACCGCAAGGCCUUAUGCUUUUGGAGCGGCCGAUAUCUGAUUAGCUAGUUGGUGAGGUAAAGGCUCACCAAGGCGACGAUCAGUAGCUGGUCUGAGAGGACGACCAGCCACACUGGAACUGAGACACGGUCCAGACUCCUACGGGAGGCAGCAGUGGGGAAUUUUGGACAAUGGGCACAAGCCUGAUCCAGCAAUGCCGCGUGAGUGAAGAAGGCCUUCGGGUUGUAAAGCUCUUUUGUCAGGGAAGAAACGGUAGAGGCUAAUAUCCUUUGCUAAUGACGGUACCUGAAGAAUAAGCACCGGCUAACUACGUG